AGGGGGAACACGGAGGGGGCGGCAUCUAGGUGACCCACAGUUGCAGGGGUAGUGGCUGUGGCCGGGCCGGCCCCCUUCAGUGAGGGCGACCAUGGUAGGUACGCCAUUCGUCUGGGGACUUUGCCUAAUUCAUAGUUACAUAGGCUGAAAAGAAACAUGCGUCCAUCAAGUUCAGCCUUUCUCACGUUUGUUUUAGCUGUUUAUCCAAAAGAAGGCAAAAAAUAAUAAUUUUGAAGCGCUUCCAAUCUUGCAACAAACAAGGAAAAAAUUCCCCUAUAAAAUACUUAUUUUUUUAGGGGGUGGGUGGCAGUGCCGCUAUAAAUACGAAAGAGGAAUUUUGUAGACAACACAUACAAAACUAUUCAGCAAACUGAUUACAGACAUUUAG
Molecule: non-coding RNA, 388 nt
Organism: Pelobates cultripes (western spadefoot toad)
Lineage: Eukaryota; Metazoa; Chordata; Amphibia; Anura; Pelobatidae
Source: the annotation of a GenBank genome assembly